GAUGAACGCUAGCGGCAGGCCUAAUACAUGCAAGUCGAGGGGCAGCAUUCACUUCGGUGAGAUGGCGACCGGCGCACGGGUGCGUAACGCGUAUGCAACCUACCCUUUACUGCGGGAUAGCCCGGGGAAACUCGGAUUAAUACCGCAUGGUACCAAUUGAGGGCAUCUAAAGAUGGUUAAAGAUUUAUCGGUAAAGGAUGGGCAUGCGUGACAUUAGCUAGUUGGUGAGGUAAUGGCUCACCAAGGCAACGAUGUCUAGGGGUUCUGAGAGGAUGAUCCCCCACACUGGCACUGAGAUACGGGCCAGACUCCUACGGGAGGCAGCAGUAGGGAAUAUUGGUCAAUGGGCGAAAGCCUGAACCAGCCAUGCCGCGUGCAGGAAGACGGCCUUCUGGGUUGUAAACUGCUUUUAUCAGGGAACAAAAAGCUCCUGCGGGAGAAAUUGCGUGUACCUGAAGAAUAAGGACCGGCUAACUCCG
RNAcentral lists this ribosomal RNA (479 nucleotides) under uncultured Flammeovirgaceae bacterium. Its description in RNAcentral is "bacterial SSU rRNA". It matches the Rfam family "Bacterial small subunit ribosomal RNA", at positions 28 to 505 of the family's 1533-position model. Lineage: Bacteria; Pseudomonadati; Bacteroidota; Cytophagia; Cytophagales; Flammeovirgaceae. The record is from RNAcentral.